This 252-nucleotide ribosomal RNA is filed under the name uncultured bacterium. RNAcentral's name for it is "partial 16S ribosomal RNA". It matches the Rfam family "Bacterial small subunit ribosomal RNA", at positions 524 to 776 of the family's 1533-position model. The record is from RNAcentral.
UACGUAGGGUGCGAGCGUUAAUCGGAAUUACUGGGCGUAAAGCGUGCGCAGGCGGUUCGUUGUGUCGGCGGUGAAAGCCCCGGGCUUAACCUGGGAAUGGCCGUUGAAACUGGCGAACUGGAGUGUGGCAGAGGGGGUGGAAUUCCGCGUGUAGCAGUGAAAUGCGUAGAGAUGCGGAGGAACACCGAUGGCGAAGGCAGCCCCCUGGGCUAACACUGACGCUCAGGCACGAAAGCGUGGGGAGCAAACAGG